This 1348-nucleotide ribosomal RNA is filed under the name crenarchaeote SRI-298. Its description in RNAcentral is "16S ribosomal RNA". It matches the Rfam family "Archaeal small subunit ribosomal RNA". Lineage: Archaea; Thermoproteati; Thermoproteota. The record is from RNAcentral.
CUGGUUGAUCCUGCCGGCGGGCACCGCUAUCGGAGUUGGAUUAAGCCAUGCGAGUCGAGGGCACCCCGCAAGGGGAGACCCGGCGCACGGCUCAGUAACACGCGGAUAAUCUACCCUGUGGUGGGGGAUAACCUCGGGAAACUGAGGAUAAUACCCCAUAGCAACCCUAUGCUGGAAUGCUUGGGUUGCGAAAGCUCCGGCGCCACAGGAUGAGUCUGCGGCCUAUCAGGUUGUAGUGGGUGUAACGGACCCACUAGCCUACGACGGGUACGGGCUUUGAGAGAAGGAGCCCGGAGAUGGAUUCUGAGACACGAAUCCAGGCCCUACGGGGCGCAGCAGGCGCGAAACUUUCACAAUGCCGGAAACGGCGAUGAGGCAACUCCGAGUGCCAACGCUCUGCGUUGGCUGUUCCCCUGCCUAAAAAGCAGGGGGAGUAAGGGCCGGGUAAGACGGGUGCCAGCCGCCGCGGUAAUACCCGCGGCCCGAGUGGUGCUCGUUAUUAUUGAGCCUAAAGAGUCCGUAGCCGGCCUGAUAAAUCCUUGGGUAAAUCGGGCAGCUUAACUGUCCGAAGUCCGAGGAGACUGUCAGGCUUGGGAUCGGGAGAGGCGAAAGGUACUCCCGGGGUAGGGGUAAAAUCCUGUAAUCCUGGGGGGACCACCAGUGGCGAAGGCGUUUCGCUAGAACGAAUCCGACGGUGAGGGACGAAGCCCUGGGGCGCAAACGGGAUUAGAUACCCCGGUAGUCCAGGGUGUAAACGCUGCGGACUUGGUGUUGGGUGUCCCAUGAGGACAUCCAGUGCCGGAGAGAAGUUGUUAAGUCCGCCGCUUGGGGAGUACAGGCGCAAGCCCGAAACUUAAAGGAAUUGGCGGGGGAGCACCGCAACGGGAGUAGCGUACGGUUUAAUUGGAUUCAACGCCGAAAAACUCACCAGGGCGACGGACCGCAUAAAGGUCAGGCUGACGACCUUACCUGAUUGUCCGAGAGGUGGUGCAUGGCCGUCGUCAGUUCGUACCGUAGGGCGUUCUGUUAAGUCAGAUAACGAACGAGACCCUCGCCCUUAAUUGCUACUCUUCCUUCCGGGAAAGAGGCACAUUAAGGGGACCGCUGGCGCUAAGCCAGAGGAAGGAGAGGUCUACGGUAGGUCCGUAUGCCCCGAAUCCCCUGGGCAACACGCGCGCUACAAAGGUCGGGACAAUGGGAUUCAAACCCGAGAGGGGGAGGUAAUCCCGAAACCCGAUCGUAGUUUGGAUUGAGGGCUGUAACUCGCCCUCAUGAAAAUGGAUUCCGUAGUAAUCGCGGGUCAACAUCCCGCGGUGAAUAUGCCCCUGCUCCUUGUACACACCGCCCG